CAGAUUCCGCGUGAAUUAACCCAUCGAAAUUAAAUUCUGGUUAAUGUUACUUGUCUAUUUAGCCAAAAUAAGUAAGUAACAUUAACGAGAAUCAAUUUGACUCCAAAAAUCCUCAAAAUAGGCCUGAAAUGACAAACCCUAGAUCCAAAAUUUGUUGAGCUUCGGUGAGAUUCGAGGGCUUUCGACCAAGGAUUCAAGAUGAGUAAGGUCAGGGGAUUAUCGGGUAUCGAUUUGGGAUCGUUUGGAGAAGUUUGUGUUUUCGGCCGAAAUUUGAUUGAGGAUUCGAGAAGUUCGGCUGUGAUUCGAAUGAAGUAAGGUCAGAUUUGAGAAGAGGGGGAAGAGGAGAUCUUGUGGAGUAAUUUUGGUGGCAUUUGGUGGUUGUCCGCCGCCGUGGACGAUUCCAGGCGGUGGAGCUAGGCGGAGCUAGCUGAAGAGGAAAGGGGAUGGUUCUGUAC
RNAcentral lists this long non-coding RNA (455 nucleotides) under Nicotiana benthamiana. RNAcentral describes it as "long non-coding RNA (NBEN_LNC040099)". The record is from RNAcentral. Lineage: Eukaryota; Viridiplantae; Streptophyta; Magnoliopsida; Solanales; Solanaceae.